UGAAUGACUUGCAAAGUUUUAAAACAGAUAAGGUUUAACUAUUCAGGUGUAUUUUUAAAAGAAAAAAAAAAAAAACAACUCUUUACCAGGAUGAGGUGUAAUUGAUAAGGAGUAUAUAAAGCUGGUUUCUAAAAUGAUUGCAGCAAGCAUUUGUGGGUGAAAUGCUCUUAGUAAAGACCUCUUAGAGGAGGAGAAAACAAAUCCAUCAAAUAUGGAGGUUAAGAGAAAUGACAAAGGCCCAUUAAAUAACUAAAUUGAAAAACAUGUUUAGUGAAGUCCCUGGCAAAGUGUCAACUGAAGUCUUAAUAG
This 309-nucleotide long non-coding RNA is filed under the name Bos taurus (domestic cattle). RNAcentral describes it as "long non-coding RNA NONBTAT012137". The record is from RNAcentral. Lineage: Eukaryota; Metazoa; Chordata; Mammalia; Artiodactyla; Bovidae.